Molecule: ribosomal RNA, 494 nt
Filed under: uncultured bacterium
Lineage: Bacteria
Description: partial 16S ribosomal RNA
Rfam family: Bacterial small subunit ribosomal RNA
Source: RNAcentral
GACGAACGCUGGCGGCGCGCUUAACACAUGCAAGUCGAACGGAAAGGCCUGCUUUCCCUUGUGGAUUGAGGGUACUCGAAUGGCGAACGGGUGAGUAACUCGUGAGCGAUCUGCCCCCAACUUGGGUAUAAGCCUGGGAAACUGGGCCUAAUUUCCGCUAGGACUGCAGGGUGGUGCCUGUGGUGGAAAACGUCUUUCUAGUGGUUGGGGAUGAGCCUGCGGGCUAUCAGCUUGUUGGUGGGGUAAUGGCCUACCAAGGCGGCGACGGGUAGGCGGGCUGGGAGGGUGGACGGGCACAUUGGGACUGGGGUACGGCCCAGGAUCCUACGGGGGGCAGGAGUGGGGGAUAUUGGAAAAUGGGCGGAAGGCUGAUGCAGGGGCGCCGGGUGGGGGAUGACGGGCUUCGGGUUGUAAACUCCUUUCGACCGAGAGGAAGCCACCUGGUUGGAAGGGUGGUGACGGUAGUGGUAGAAGAAGCGCCGGCUAACUACGUG